Molecule: long non-coding RNA, 732 nt
Organism: Bos taurus (domestic cattle)
Lineage: Eukaryota; Metazoa; Chordata; Mammalia; Artiodactyla; Bovidae
Source: Ensembl
AGGCCCGAGCUCCCUGCCCAAACACCCCGCCCAGCCCAGGCCACCCUUUAAAUAUAUGUCUGAACAAGGCACUUCCUUGUUCAGAAGCUCCUACACCAAAUGGCUACCUUGCUAUUAAAAAAAGAAUUCUGAUGAUGGCCAAAAGCGCUACUGAUUUUUAUGAGGCAAGAAUACUGGAGUGGAUUGCCAUUUCCUCCUCCAGGAGAUCUUCAUGACCUAGGGACUGGACCCACAUCUGCUGUGUCUCCUCCAUUGCAGGCAGAUUAUUUACUGCUAAGCCACUGGGAAAGCCCAUUGCACAUCUGUGUUCAAGAUAAGGGAACUGAAGCACAGAAAGUGAAAAACCUACUCAAGAUCACACCAUCACCAGAUGACGGAGCAAGCUGGGAUUCAGAUGCAGGCAACUUGAUGACAAAAACGACAUCUACUGUUAUGCCUGCUAGAAACCAUAAAAGCUAACACGUUUAUUGGCUGUUUGCUGGGCUCUGUUCUAGGGCAUUACAAGGGUGAAUUCACUUAACCUCACAGCAGUCUGACAAGGUGGCCGUGACUGUCACUGUGUCAGAGAAGAGCUCGCUGCUUCCCUCACCCGUCGGCGGGAGGCAGAGCUGGGACUGAUUGCAGGCACUCAGCUCUAGAGCCUAUGCUCCCAACUGUCACACAAAACCACCCCUGAGCUUCCAGGAUAUCAUUCUCAGUAUUUUGAUACAUGCUUGAAACGUUUCAUAAUUC